AAGUUGGAUUCNCUAGUAAUCGCGCAUCAGCCAUGGCGCGGUGAAUACGUUCCCGGGCCUUGUACACACCGCCCGUCAAGCCAUGGGAGCCGGGGGCGCCUGAAGUCCGGGACCGCGAGGACCGGCCUAGGGCGAAACUGGUAACUGGGGCUAAGUCGUAACAAGGUAAC
This 170-nucleotide ribosomal RNA is filed under the name uncultured bacterium. RNAcentral describes it as "partial 16S ribosomal RNA". It matches the Rfam family "Bacterial small subunit ribosomal RNA", at positions 1323 to 1500 of the family's 1533-position model. The record is from RNAcentral.